RNAcentral lists this ribosomal RNA (351 nucleotides) under Triticum aestivum (bread wheat). RNAcentral's name for it is "partial small subunit ribosomal RNA". The record is from RNAcentral. Lineage: Eukaryota; Viridiplantae; Streptophyta; Magnoliopsida; Poales; Poaceae.
AUGCUCAACUGGCCCACGCCGUCCAUGGCCACCGAGCCGCGGGGCUUCCUCGGCCUUACGGGUUACUACCGCAAGUUCGUCGCCCGCUACGGGAUCAUUGCCAAGCCGCUGACAGCGCUGCUCACCAAGAAGGGCUUCGUCUGGUCUGACCAGGCACAAGCUGCUUUCGAGCUCCUCAAGCGCGCCAUGGCCAGCGCUCCUGUCUUGGCGUUACCAGACUUUGAGAAGCCACUCAGCAUUGAAACAGAUGCCUGCGACACGGGCAUUGGCGCAGUGCUGGUCCAGGAGGGUCACCCGGUGGCAUACUUCAGCAAAGCGUUGGGCGUCCGUAACCAGAAGUUAUCGGCCUAC